GCCUUCAUUGAUUUUCUAAGGUGGAGGGCUAGGGGUGAUGCAUCUAGCGAGGCUGCCAUCCGGGCUAUCUACCAUUCAGUAUAUCUGGUUGGCUAGGAAUAGUAUUGUUUUCAAGUCCAGGAGGUACCCAAUGAGGUUUAUCUUUGAAAGAGCCCUGAUCUAGAUACGGGAGUUGAUUCAUAUGACCUGUAAGCCUUUGAAGACAUGGGACUCCCACCUUGCU
This 223-nucleotide long non-coding RNA is filed under the name Elaeis guineensis (African oil palm). RNAcentral's name for it is "long non-coding RNA (EGUI_LNC073095)". Lineage: Eukaryota; Viridiplantae; Streptophyta; Magnoliopsida; Arecales; Arecaceae. The record is from RNAcentral.